UACGGAGGAUGCGAGCGUUAUCCGGGUUUAUUGGGUUUAAAGGGUGCGUAGGCGGACUGUCAAGUCAGCGGUAAGAUUGAGAGGCUCAACCUCUUCCCGCCGUUGAAACUGGUGGUCUUGAGUGGAUGAGAAGUACGCGGAAUGCGUGGUGUAGCGGUGAAAUGCAUAGAUAUCACGCAGAACUCCGAUUGCGAAGGCAGCGUACCGGCAUCCAACUGACGCUGAGGCACGAAAGCGUGGGGAUCAAACAGG
Molecule: ribosomal RNA, 252 nt
Filed under: uncultured bacterium
Lineage: Bacteria
Description: partial 16S ribosomal RNA
Rfam family: Bacterial small subunit ribosomal RNA
Source: RNAcentral